Long non-coding RNA from Sarcophilus harrisii (Tasmanian devil), 4531 nucleotides. The record is from Ensembl. NCBI's taxonomy places the organism in Eukaryota, Metazoa, Chordata, Mammalia, Dasyuromorphia, Dasyuridae.
CCUGGAGAAAGAAGAGCAGAUCUUUGUGGUCAUCAAGGACAACCCCUAGUCUAACUGACAUUGUCCGCCUUCCUCUCGAUCCCGAGCCUCAGCCACAGCGUCAUCUCCCAGACGAGCUUCCGAGCAGAGUACAAGUCCACGGGCGGGCCGGCCGUCUUCCAGAAGCCGGUCAAGUUCCAGGUGGACAUCACCUACACGGAGGGGGGCGAAGCCCAGAAGGAGAACGGCAUCUACUCAGUCACUUUCACACUUUUGUCAGGUCCAAGCCGGCGCUUUAAGAGGGUGGUGGAGACUAUUCAGGCCCAGUUAUUAAGCACGCACGACCAGCCAUCAGUCCAGCAGUUAUCAGAAACCCCCCAUUCAGCUCCAGGACUAAGCUGGGGAGCUGUGUUUAAGGGCCAGAAGGUGGCCACCAGCUACGAGAGUAGCCUCUGAGACUAUAGCAGACACCACUAACUGUAUGGAAUUGAUGACGGGGAGACUUUCCAAAUGUGACGAGAAGAACGGGCAGGUGGCCCACCCCCCCGGCACGCCAACCAAGCCUAGCGCCCACAGCCAGCGGAGAGAGGCCGAGGCGCCUGCCGCCAAGUACCCGGGCGGCAGAGACAAGGCAAAGUCGGCCGCACCAGCCGCCAGCCAAGAGCAACCCUAGAGACAGACUGCCGCCCGCCCGCCCGCCCGCCCAGAGCUGCCCUCCCCCUAAGCACAGCGCCGAGCCCGGCGAGCCCCGCGGCCUCCGUAGGGAGCCGGCCUGGCCGCCGGCGGGACGGGCAGAGCAGGCUGGCACUGCUGCCAGGGCAGCCGCGGGAGCCCGGGCCGCCCGGACCGAGGACUGUGUAUAUGUACACGACCAUAUAGAUAUUAUAUAUAUAUAUAUAUUAUAUAUAUACAUACAUACAUAUAGAUUUAUAGUCGCGCUAUGCUCUGGGCAGCCAGGCAGGGGACGGGCGGAGCCGCUGACGGACGGGCAGGCAGGCGGCACGGACGGACAGACAGACGGCACGGACACAUAGCACAGACUUCGCAAAGCACUGGCUCUGGCGAGGGCGCCGGGCCUCCCUCUCCUCCCCACUGCUGCUCUGCUCCCUCCCCCGGCGGGGGCCUUUCUGGGCUCCUGCUUUGGCCCUGGUUGGCUCUGAGCGUGCUCUCUGUCUCCUCCCCUCCUCGGCUCUCUCUGUCUCUCCUCUGUCCCCGUGUCUCUCGAGUCUGUCUGUGUGUCCUUUUCUUUCCUCUCAGUCUAUGGAACUGUCUCUUUGUUUCCUCUUUCUCCCUCUCUGUGUGUCUAUCUCUCUGUCUCUGUCCCCAUGUGUCUCUUUCCUCUCUCUCAUUCUCUUUGUGUGACUGUCUUUCUCCAUCUGUGUCUCUUGUCUCAUUAUAUGUCUCUCUCCUCUCUCUCCUUCUGUAUCUGUGUCUGUCUCCUCUGUCUGUUUUCCUACAUCUGUCUCAUUUCUUUCUCUCUCUGUCUCUCUUUUUUGUCUCCCUCUCUCUCUCAUGUUUCUUUCUCUCUGUGUUUCUCUAUGUGUCUCUGUGUGUCUCAUUAUAUGUUUCUCUGUCUCUUUUCUGUUUCUCUAUGUCUGUGUCUCAUUAUAUGUUUCUCUCUGUCUCUGUGUCUGUCUCUCUCUGUCUGUCUUGGUCUCUCUCUCUGUCUCUGUUUCUCCACGUCUGUGUCUCAUGUUUCUCUCUGUGUCUCUCUGUCUCCGUCUGUCUCUCUCUAUCUCUGUGUGAGUCUCUCUCUCUGUCUCUGUGUCUCUGUCUGUCUCGGUCUCUCUUUCUGUCUCUGUUUCUCCAUGUCUGUGUCUCAUGUUUCUCUCUGUGUCUCUCUGUCUCUGUCUCUCUCUAUCUCUGUGUGAGUCUCUCUGUCUCUGUCUGUCUCUAUCUCUGUGUGAGUCUCUCUGUAUCUCUCUGUCUCUGUCUGUCUCGGUCUCUCUCUCUGUCUCUGUUUCUCCACGUCUGUGUCUCAUGUUUCUCUCUGUGUCUCUCUCUCUGUCUCUCUCUAUCUCUGUGUGAGUCUCUCUGUCUCUGUCUGUCUCUAUCUCUGUGUGAGUCUCUCUGUAUCUCUCUGUCUCUCUCUGUCUGUCUCGGUCUCUCUCUCUGUCUCUGUUUCUCCACGUCUGUGUCUCAUGUUUCUCUCUGUGUGUCUCUGUCUCUAUCUCUGUGUGAGUCUCUCUGUCUGUCUCUGUGUCUCUGUCUGUCUCGGUCUCUCUCUCUGUCUCUGUUUCUCCACGUCUGUGUCUCAUGUUUCUCUCUGUGUCUCUCUGUCUCUGUCUCUCUCUAUCUCUGUGUGAGUCUCUCUCUCUCUGUCUCUGUGUGUCUCUCUGUCUGUCUCUCUCUCUCUCUCUCUGUCUCCCUGUCUCUGUCUCUGAUGCCGUGGCUUGUUUCCGCUCUGAUCCCAGGAAUUAUCCCGCAAAGUUAACCUGCCGUCACCGCCAGCCGCCGCCCGCCGCCUUCCGUGCUUGGAGGACUCAGGAUGGAAGGCAGCCGCUUCGGAUUCAGGGCCUCCUCCUCCCGAGCCUCCCGGGCCCCCCCUCCCGCCUCCCUCCACGGCCCGCGGGGCCGAUGGAGCCCAGCUCAGUGCGGCCCGCCGGAGGACCCCCCCCCCAACCUCUUCUUAGGGCGGGAUCAAAAAGCACAGCCUCCGGCCUCCGGCCCUGCCCGCGGAGAGCUCUGGGGCGCCAGCGGCGGGACGGCCCGGCCCGCCCGAGGGUGGGCGCCGGCAGCCGGGAGCCACGUUAGCGAUACCUCGUCAUUCCCGGGCUCUCCCUCCGUUCCUCCGGCCCGCGUGCACCGGCAUCUCCAGCCGCCCCCUCACUUCUGCCUCUCUCCCCCUCUCCGUCUCCGUCUCCGCCUGCCUCCCCUCCCCCUUUCUUUGCACCGGUGUUUCCCGUUCGGUUUCUUUGGGGGGGCCUCGAGAUCGCCCCGGCUUCGGAGAGCCCCUCCUGGCCGUGGUGGCGGGCGAGGGGAGGCGGGGGCGCCGGGGCGGGGGGAGCCGCUCCGCCCCCCGGCCCAGAGCGUCCCGGAGCAGAGGAGCCAGAGGCGGGGCGCGCCUCCCGCCGGCCGGGGUUCGGGAGAGCCCGCCGGCGCCGCCCCGAGCUCAGUAUUACUCCGCGGCCGUUUUCGCUCCCGUGGUUUCUCCGGUCCCCUCUUCAGGGAAGAGACGGUGUCCUCGGUCUGUCCGCCCGUCCGUCGGGGUGUCCGUCCGUCCGGGGGGGCCGGGGCCCCCCAGAGCGAGGCUCCCGGCAGCUGGCGCGGAGGCAGGGCCGGGGCCCCACAAAGCUACUGUAAACUUGAAAAGAAUUCCUGCGAGAUAUUUUUCUAAACUUUUUUCCUCGGUUGUUUUUGGAGGGGCGGGCGGGGCCUGGCGCUGGGGGGCGGGGGGCGGGCUUUGUGUUUCCGUUAUUAGCUCUUGGUUAUUUAUAUCUACAUAUACAUAUAUCUAGGCCCGCCCGGCCGCUGGGGAGCUCCGGGGCUGCGGCGGCGCGCGGGGGGCCGCGCCAAGGCGGCUCCCGGGGGAAGGGGCGCCGGGAGCCCAGAGCUGUCCGCUUCAGCACCGCCCGGCUCUGCGCAAAGCCGGCCAAAGUCACGCGUUCUCCUCCCUCCUCUGUGUUCUCUGUACAUAAUGCUGAGGGGGCGGGGCGGGGCGGGGCGGGCAGGGGCGGGCCGGGAGCCCCUCCGCUCCGGGCGGGCCCCGCCCCGCCCCCGCCCCGCCCCUCCACCUGCCGGCCUCCGCUUCCCGCUUUCCAUUGGCUCUCCCCGCCCCCGCCCAGGUGCCGAGCGCGCGCCCAGCCCGGCGGGGGAGCGCCGGGGAGGGAGGGGCCGAGGGCUGGGGGGAGGGAGGGGCCGAGGGCUGGGGGGCGGGCGGGCAGGCAGGUGAGCGAGGACAGGGCAGUUUUUAAUUGCAUGCCUUUACUGUAAUUAGUCCAUUUUGCUUUUGAUGUCUUUCCUGCCUCCUCUCGAAGCCCUCCUCCCCUCCUCCUCCCGUCUAGGUUAAAGGCACCUCCACCGAGGCUGGGACAGCGAGGAAGAGUCCCGGCGAGCCCCGAGGCGCGACAAGCAGGGCGGGGCCCCCCCCAGACCUGAGGAUCACCAAAAGCAAUACCACUUGUUAGCCUUCCUCCCUUCCGGUUUUGUACUUGGAACACGACGCGCGCGCGCGCUGGAAACGGACAGUCUCCAUCUGAUGUAUCCCUUGUCAGAUAACUAACUGUGAGCAACUUCGGUUCGGAACCAAUAAAUUCAUUCAGUGAAGACAUCAGCCGGCGGCUCCGUGUGCGUGCGUGCGUGCGUGCGUGCGUGGGGGGGGGCACGGGAGGGGCGAGUCCGGUUCCGGGCCACGCCCACCCGGCGCCGGCCGAGGAGGGCCCAAGCCUCGGGGCCCCGCCGCUCCCCAGAAAGAAGCGGGCUCCCGGCCCCGAGCGCAAAUCCCGCCUCAAACACUGGCCGCUUCCCGGCUGCGUGAUCCCGAGCCGGCCCCUUAACUCCAAGUGCCUCCAGCAAAACUCCAGCGCACUUACCCUGGGCUCCUGCUCCCCCU